UGUGGCUCAGUGAUAGAGCACUUGCCUAGCAUGCAUGAGGUACUGGGUUCAAUCCCCACCA
Molecule: transfer RNA, 61 nt
Filed under: Marmota marmota marmota (Alpine marmot)
Lineage: Eukaryota; Metazoa; Chordata; Mammalia; Rodentia; Sciuridae
Also listed under: 3 other names
Rfam family: tRNA
About the family: Transfer RNA (tRNA) molecules are approximately 80 nucleotides in length.
Source: Rfam by way of RNAcentral